GACGAACGCUGGCGGCGUGCUUAACACAUGCAAGUCGAACGGAAAGGCCCUGCUUUUGUGGGGUGCUCGAGUGGCGAACGGGGGAGUAACACGUGAGUAACCUGCCCUUGACUUUGGGAUAACUUCAGGAAACUGGGGCUAAUACCGGAUAGGAGCUCCUGCUGCAUGGAGGGGGUUGGAAAGUUUCGGCGGGCGGGGAUGGAUUCGCGGCUUAUGAGCUUGCUGGUGGGGUAGGGGCUUACCAAGUCUUUGACGGGUAGCCGGCCUGAGAGGGUGACCGGCCACAAUGGGACUGCGGGACGGCCCAGUCUCCUACGGGGGGCAGCAGUGGGGAAUAUUGCCCAAUGGGCGGAAGCCUGAUGCAGCAACGCCGCGUGUGGGAUGACGGCCUUCGGGUUGUAAACCGCUUUCGCCUGUGACGAAGCGUUAGUGACGGUAAUGGGUAAAGAAGCACCGGCUAACUACGUG
RNAcentral lists this ribosomal RNA (468 nucleotides) under uncultured bacterium. RNAcentral describes it as "partial 16S ribosomal RNA". It matches the Rfam family "Bacterial small subunit ribosomal RNA", at positions 28 to 507 of the family's 1533-position model. The record is from RNAcentral.